AGGAUAUUGAGAUGGAUCCGCGAAGAGGAAGAGAGGAUAGCAGCCAACAAAGAAACUGCAAUCAAAUGUGUAAUUAUCGACAUGACAGCUGUAUCAACCAUAGAUUCAAGUUGAAUCGACACUAUAUGUGAACUAAGAAGGACGCUGGAUAAACGAUCUCUUAAGCUUAUGCUGGCAAAUCCAGGUGGGAAUGUUAUGGAAAAGUUGCAUGAAUCUAGUGCUCUUGAGGGCUUCGGAUUAAAUGGAAUAUAUCUAACUGUUUCUGAAGCAGUGGCUGAUAUCUCAUCUUUGUGGAAGAAUGAACCUGAAUUGUCAGUAUAAGAUUUGCAUUGUCAAGAAAAAAAUUGAAGUGGCAUGUGAUGUAAGUAUGAUGUGUCACUAGUUUGAUAGGAAAAAGGCAAUACUCCCCCGUCCCUUUCAUCCCAGUAAGCAUUCCAACAGCCACAAGAAUCUUGUAGUGCAAAGACUCAGGAUUUCAGUUUGGAUUAUUCGGUAUUCGGUAUUUACCGAAUUACCGAACAGUAUAAUGGUAAAUACCGAAUACCGAAACCGAAAUAUUAAAUUUUACAUUUUAGUCCCGAAUACCGAACCGAAAACCGAAUUCCCGAAUACCGAAAUACCGAAAUAGCCGGUUCGGUUCGGUAAUUCGGUUUUCGGUAUU
Lycium barbarum (goji berry) is the source of this 661-nucleotide long non-coding RNA. RefSeq lists it as uncharacterized. The record is from RefSeq and is a predicted model, not a curated record. The transcript has 3 exons. NCBI's taxonomy places the organism in Eukaryota, Viridiplantae, Streptophyta, Magnoliopsida, Solanales, Solanaceae.